Pimephales promelas (fathead minnow) is the source of this 2250-nucleotide non-coding RNA. The record is from RefSeq and is a predicted model, not a curated record. Lineage: Eukaryota; Metazoa; Chordata; Actinopteri; Cypriniformes; Leuciscidae.
CGAUCGGUUGCAUCCAGGCGCAGGCGAUGUCGAACACUAGUACUAAACAGGUAGAGAAAGCGGGUUGGGUAAUACCAAGUCGGUGCGGUGGGAGGAGGAUACAUUACAGAUUAUUUAAAAUAUGAUACUAUCUUUCUUGCUGUCAAAUGUAUUUCAUAUUAAUUCGGAAUAUUUCAUAUUUAUUCUAAUCUGAAUGAUGUGAUGAUAUUGGGGGGGUUAUAUUAGCUGGGUCUGAUUUUUGAGGGGGUCAUAACCCCCCUAAGCCCCCCGCAAAUUACGCCCAUGGUGGGAACGCCUCAUUUUUAGAGCAGUGUGGCCGGUUUUACAGGACAUGGGUUUGAAGUCGUUUGAAUACACCCAGACACCUCACUCACAAGCGGUCUUAAAAUCAUUCUAAAGAGCAAUAGACUUCGCCAUGGUCAUACCAUCCACAAAUGAAUCAAAUCCACCAGUCUGCAGGUUAAGAAAAUAUACAUUACUACUGGCAUGUUUUCUUCUGACAUCAACCUGGCUGGCUUUAUGGAGAUUCCUGGAGAGUGGUCGACAAUUCCAGCCCUCCAUUCUUAAACCUGUUAAAGGAAAACAGGUUAAAACAAAUUCCUCAUCCAUAAUUUCCUUUCAUGACAUGGGAAUCAGUGAAGAGGAGUGGGAACGGCUACAGAGGACUCUGGACUGGCCCAGUCCAGAUCAGGAAAUCACUCGGCUGGAUCAGAGCACAAGCCCAGUCCACUCAACAUUCUCUAUUGUGGGACUCAAGGAGAGUUACAAAGUGGGAGAAAAGAUCUCUGUUACCAUCACAGCCAGAGACCACAACAAGAACCUGAAAAGAUAUGGAGGAGAUUUUUUCCAAGCAAAGCUAUUCAAUUUAAACCUCAAGGCGAGUGUGUACGGGGAGGUUGUGGAUCACUGUAAUGGGACUUACUCUGUUUCUCUUCUUCUGCCUUGGGAAGGUCAGGCACAAGUUUAUGUGCGUCUAGAGCACUCCAGUGAGGUUGUGCAGAUUCUUAAAAAAUACAGGGAGUCUUCAUUCCCACGCAGCCAUUAUAAAGGCCACUUUGAAGGGUCAGGACCUGAUAAAACUAGGAUCAGUGAGGUAGUAGAAUGUAAUCUUAAGUGGGGUGCAGAUGGAAGUUGGAGUAAAGGCGACUGCUGCUGUGAGUAUAAGGAUAUAAAAACAGGGACGGUGUGGCAGUGUGAGAUACCGAAGAAACUUUCUUGUGACAAACUGGUUCAUCACUCUACUGGAAGUUUGGAAAGCCCAUUAAAUCCUUUUGAGAAUCAAAUUUUCACAACGAAAUUAACAAAUGUUGCUAUUACUGGAGACACACAAAUAAUAAAUGUCCUUCCCAACACUACAGGCAACGGCACAAUGGAGAGAUGCAGAUCUGGCAUGACGACACCAGUUCCUGCAGGGUUUUAUCUGAAAGAUGUCUGGAAGUCUUUUGUGUGCAACACCCAACAGUUCAAUUCCAUACAAAUGGGAAAUUGUCUUAAAAACAAGAUUGUCUACUUGAUGGGAGACUCCACCACAAGGCAGUGGUUUGAGUAUUUAGAACAAAAAGUGCCAGGUAUACAAAGAAUGAACCUGCACACUCAUCGUUUGAGUGGACCCCUGAUGGCUGUAGAGUUAAAAAAUAACAUCAUUGUUCACUGGAGGCCACACGGUGUUCCUUUGCGUAUUUCUUACUUGUUGAUUACUGACUUGCAUUAUAUCAGCAAUGAUAUUGAUGAAAUCGCUGGUGGUCCUCAUGCAGUCGUUGUCUUUACAAUCUUUGCCCACCGGGUUUUUCACCCAGUAACAUUUUAUGUGCAUGAAGUGGCCAAAAUCCGUCAAUCUGUUGUUGCACUGCUGAGUCGUGCACCAGAGACUACCGUCAUCAUCAAGUCUGGAAACACUGCAGGAUUAAAGAAGCUUCUGGAGUCGUUUUUGAGAAGGAAAUGGGCGUGACGCAACGACCGGGAGAGCGGUUGAUUCAAACAACAGAAAAACAAUGAGGAAAUACUUGUAUGACGGACCUGAAACCAUAAAGUUAUGAGCCUGCUACAGUAUAUAUGCUGCCAAGAGAGCAGGGACAGGCCAGGAUAACGUUACACAGAACGGUCAAAGACAAAUUGAGUUGUGGUGUGAGGAGACCCAGUGGAGAACAGGACAGGUGUCUUUUGAAUAUUUUUCAAAGUGAUUGGUAUGCCAUGCAGCUGAAUGCAGUGAUGCAGGAGAUGUUCCGAGAUAUCAAAGGAGUAAUCUACUUC